RNAcentral lists this ribosomal RNA (254 nucleotides) under uncultured bacterium. Its description in RNAcentral is "partial 16S ribosomal RNA". It matches the Rfam family "Bacterial small subunit ribosomal RNA", at positions 524 to 776 of the family's 1533-position model. The record is from RNAcentral.
UACGUAGGGGCCUAGCGUUGUCCGGAUUUAUUGGGCGUAAAGAGCUCGUAGGUGGUUUGGUAAGUCGGAUGUGAAAUCUCCAGGCUCAACCUGGAGGGGUCAUUCGAUACUGCCAUGACUAGAGGUCGGUAGGGGAGUGUGGAAUUCCUGGUGGAGCGGUGAAAUGCGCAGAUAUCAGGAGGAACACCCGUAGCGAAGGCGGCACUCUGGGCCGAUACUGACACUGAGGAGCGAAAGCGUGGGGAGCGAACCGG